RNAcentral lists this ribosomal RNA (252 nucleotides) under uncultured bacterium. RNAcentral describes it as "partial 16S ribosomal RNA". It matches the Rfam family "Bacterial small subunit ribosomal RNA", at positions 525 to 776 of the family's 1533-position model. The record is from RNAcentral.
ACGAAGGAUCCAAGCGUUGUCCGGAUUUACUGGGUUUAAAGGGUGCGUAGGCGGAAAAUUAAGUCAGUGGUGAAAGCCCGCAGCUCAACUGUGGAACUGCCAUUGAAACUGGUUUUCUUGAAUAUAGCUGAGGCAGAUGGAAUAUAACAUGUAGCGGUGAAAUGCUUAGAUAUGUUAUAGAACACCGAUUGCGAAGGCAGUCUGCUAAACUAUUAUUGACGCUGAGGCACGAAAGCGUGGGGAGCGAACAGG